RNAcentral lists this ribosomal RNA (424 nucleotides) under Verrucomicrobiota bacterium. RNAcentral describes it as "Verrucomicrobia bacterium partial 16S ribosomal RNA". It matches the Rfam family "Bacterial small subunit ribosomal RNA", at positions 355 to 776 of the family's 1533-position model. The record is from RNAcentral. Lineage: Bacteria; Pseudomonadati; Verrucomicrobiota.
UGAGGAAUAUUGGUCAAUGGACGCAAGUCUGAACCAGCCAAGUAGCGUGCAGGAUGACGGCCCUAUGGGUUGUAAACUGCUUUUAUAUGGGGAUAAAGUGGGGAACGUGUUCCCUUUUGCAGGUACCAUAUGAAUAAGGACCGGCUAAUUCCGUGCCAGCAGCCGCGGUAAUACGGAAGGUUCGGGCGUUAUCCGGAUUUAUUGGGUUUAAAGGGAGCGUAGGCCGCUUGGUAAGCGUGUUGUGAAAUGUAGGAGCUCAACUUCUAGAUUGCAGCGCGAACUGUCAGACUUGAGUGCGCACAACGUAGGCGGACUUCAUGGUGUAGCGGUGAAAUGCUUAGAUAUCAUGAAGAUCUCCGAUUGCGAAGGCAGCUUACGGGAGCGCAACUGACGCUGAAGCUCGAAGGUGCGGGUAUCGAACAGG